This is a long non-coding RNA of Eublepharis macularius, 512 nucleotides long. RefSeq lists it as uncharacterized. Lineage: Eukaryota; Metazoa; Chordata; Lepidosauria; Squamata; Eublepharidae. The record is from RefSeq and is a predicted model, not a curated record. The transcript is spliced from 3 exons.
GAGAGGAGAAGAAGAGAGACUGCACCUGGAGCCUGGAGGACAUCUGCCUGGAGGAUCAACUGUGCUGGACAUCCUGAGAGGACACCUGGUUGUUUAUCGUUGGUGGACCUCUUCUGGACUGGACUGCACUUGGUGGACAUCGGCCUGCAGAUCUCUGCGUGGAGGAUCAACAUUGCUGGACAUCUGCACUGGUGGACUGCAUCGUGGAGGAGAGGAGGACCAGCUGCAAGACCGCCUGAACAUCGCUGGACUGCAGGACUGGUGUUAGUGUGACCGAUCCGCUCAGCUACUGGGCCAGGAAGGAGUCGGUCUGGCCGGACCUCUCCCUCGAGGCGCAGCGGCUGCUCUCAUGCCCUCCGACGAGCGUGGAGAGCGAGCGCGUCUUUUCACAUGCGGGCGACAUUGUCGGCCCACAUCGCACUCGCCUUCUCCCAUGGAGAGUCGAGCAGUUGACCUUCCUGAAGGUCAACUCUCGCCUCUUCGAUUUCUCAGGACUGGACUUCCAGAGUGAC